UAUUAUACUAAUAAAUACUAAUAAACCUGAAUUAUUAAUAGAUAUAUUCUUUAAAUUUGAAGAAUUUGGCGGUGACUUAGUCUUGUUAGAGGAACCUGUUUUUGAAUCGAUAUUCCACGUAAAAUUUUACUCAUUUUAUUUAGUUUAUAUACCGUCAUUAGCAGAUAAUUUUUAAAAAAUCAAUUAUUAAAUAUUAAAGGAGGUUAACUUAAAUUAGAUCAAGGUGUAGCUUAUAAAUGAGUUAGAAUGGGUUACAAUAAAAUUUAUUUAGAACGGAGCAGUCAUAGGAAGCAGUGUUGUAGAAGGAGGAUUUAAUUGUAAUGAAAGUUUAAUAAGCUAGAAAGAUAUAAGCCCUAAGUCAU
Molecule: ribosomal RNA, 362 nt
Filed under: Garthiope barbadensis
Lineage: Eukaryota; Metazoa; Arthropoda; Malacostraca; Decapoda; Xanthidae
Description: partial 12S small subunit ribosomal RNA
Source: RNAcentral